CUGAACGUUGAGGGAUCAACGUUGACCGCAGGGGAGAAGUCAGCAGAGGGCAUAUUAGUCCUGCUCUGCAGGAUGAAGGCC
Non-coding RNA from Nitrospirae bacterium RBG_13_39_12, 81 nucleotides. NCBI's taxonomy places the organism in Bacteria, Pseudomonadati, Nitrospirota. The record is from Rfam.